RNAcentral lists this ribosomal RNA (397 nucleotides) under uncultured soil bacterium. RNAcentral's name for it is "bacterial SSU rRNA". It matches the Rfam family "Bacterial small subunit ribosomal RNA", at positions 26 to 413 of the family's 1533-position model. The record is from RNAcentral.
AGAUUGAACGCUGGCGGCAGGCCUAACACAUGCAAGUCGAGCGGCAGCACGGGUACUUGUACUUGGUGGCGAGCGGCGGACGGGUGAGGUAAUGCCUAGGAAUCUGCCUGGUAGUGGGGGAUAACGGCUCGGAAACGGACGCUAAUACCGCAUACGUCCUACGGGAGAAAGCAGGGGACCUUCGGGCCUUGCGCUAUCAGAUGAGCCUAGGUCGAUUAGCUAGUUGGUGAAGUAAUGGCUCACCGAAGGCGACGAUCCGUAACUGGUCUGAGAGGAUGAUCAGUCACACUGGAACUGAGACACGGUCCAGACCUCCGUACGGGAGGCAGCAGGUGGGAAUAGUUGGAACAAGUGGGACGAAAGCCUGACUCCAGCCAGUCGCCGUGUGUGUAGGAAG